AUUGAACGCUGGCGGCAGGCCUAACACAUGCAAGUCGAACGGUAACAGGAAGCAGCUUGCUGCUUUGCUGACGAGUGGCGGACGGGUGAGUAAUGUCUGGGAAACUGCCUGAUGGAGGGGGAUAACUACUGGAAACGGUAGCUAGUACCGCAUAACGUCGCAAGACCAAAGAGGGGGACCUUCGGGCCUCUUGCCAUCGGAUGUGCCCAGAUGGGAUUAGCUAGUAGGUGGGGUAACGGCUCACCUAGGCGACGAUCCCUAGCUGGUCUGAGAGGAUGACCAGCCACACUGGAACUGAGACACGGUCCAGACUCCUACGGGAGGCAGCAGUGGGGAAUAUUGCACAAUGGGCGCAAGCCUGAUGCAGCCAUGCCGCGUGUAUGAAGAAGGCCUUCGGGUUGUAAAGCACUUUUAGCGGGGAGGAAGAGAGUAAAGUUAAUACCUUUGCUCAUUGACGUUACCCGAAGAAGAAGCACCGGCUAACUCCGUG
RNAcentral lists this ribosomal RNA (490 nucleotides) under uncultured bacterium. RNAcentral's name for it is "partial 16S ribosomal RNA". It matches the Rfam family "Bacterial small subunit ribosomal RNA", at positions 30 to 507 of the family's 1533-position model. The record is from RNAcentral.